This 607-nucleotide long non-coding RNA is filed under the name Pongo abelii (Sumatran orangutan). RNAcentral describes it as "lincRNA". Lineage: Eukaryota; Metazoa; Chordata; Mammalia; Primates; Hominidae. The record is from RNAcentral.
UUUUAUCCCCUAUCUUACCAGUGACAACUUAUUGUCUACACAGCAGAUAGAAGGAAUUUGUUUUCAGAAUUGCCAUCUGACCUAUUUAGAUGCUCAGAUAUUCCCUGAGGCUCCUUGGCAUGGCCACAAAGGCCCUACACAUUCUGGCUGCAUCCUCCUUUCCAGCAUCCUCUCUCAUGUCUCCUCUCCUCAAUUCCACCCUCAGGAGGUAUUAGAAUUCCUCACUUCUUUGACUACCAGGCACCGUCUUACUCCCAAGACCAGUGAAUCCGAAGGUGGCCCCGCCAGCUGAGGGACUAGAUUCCAGACUGAAUAGAACAGCUUUUCCUGUGUCUCCACAUGAAGUGCAUUUGUUUUUCCUCUUACAGGUUUCCUUAACGACAACAAAAAAGGGAGUAAUCCUACCUACUGUAAGAGUCAUGACUCUUGAUUGCAGCUGACAGAAGCUCAUGACAGCCUGGUUUAGAUAAAAGGGGAAAGGACGACUGGAAGAAUCUUGGAGUUGGGAAUAUGGCACAUAAUUGAAGGAAGAGCAAUAAAACUAUACUUCUCAGAUGACCAAGAUGGUGCUGCCGAUGGUGUUGAGGACGGAGAACCCACCAAGCCC